This is a long non-coding RNA of Hydra vulgaris (swiftwater hydra), 262 nucleotides long. RefSeq lists it as uncharacterized. Lineage: Eukaryota; Metazoa; Cnidaria; Hydrozoa; Anthoathecata; Hydridae. The record is from RefSeq and is a predicted model, not a curated record.
UUUUGAACUCAAGGUUAAAUCAUCACCUUAUUGCUAAAUCCGUCAGUUGGUUCAGGCAAACCGUCUAUCGAUUCAGUUCCAUUUAUAAAAGCUGGGUAUUACACAGGACUAAGAAAUUGGAAUGUUACAAUGUCUAUUGUUUUUGGUGUUGAUGGAAAAGGACUUAACCAAAGGGAUGGAGUGUAUACUGUUUUUUUAGAUGGAGUGUAUUUACUAUCAAGUGCUUUGGUUACUUAAACAAAUAAGAGUCAAAUUUUCAUUG